RNAcentral lists this ribosomal RNA (23 nucleotides) under Hemicriconemoides chitwoodi. RNAcentral describes it as "partial 18S ribosomal RNA". The record is from RNAcentral. Lineage: Eukaryota; Metazoa; Nematoda; Chromadorea; Rhabditida; Criconematidae.
AACCUGCUGCUGGAUCAUUACCU